This is a long non-coding RNA of Lotus japonicus, 733 nucleotides long. RefSeq lists it as uncharacterized. The transcript has 2 exons. Lineage: Eukaryota; Viridiplantae; Streptophyta; Magnoliopsida; Fabales; Fabaceae. The record is from RefSeq and is a predicted model, not a curated record.
ACAAUUCAUUUUUUUAAAAAAAAAAGUUAUAUACAAACCUUUUUUUAAGGAAUGAAAAAUUAGCGCUAAAAUUUUGAGGGAGAUUUUGUUUUCUUGUUUUCCUAAAACACUAGAACUUCUUCGCUGUGUUGUCUCAAAACCCCAACACCCAACCUUAACAUUGCUCUCCUCUUCUUGUCACGUUAUCUAGGGAUUGAUUUCAGUCUCUUUUCUCUUCACUUCCAUCAGGAAUUUUGCACGCCCUCUACUAGUCACAGGUAUCGCGAUUAUGGGGCGCUUGUUGGAGAAGGUGGCCGCAAGGUUCGUUGACAGAUGUGGUUUGAAUGGAAGGGAGGCGAUGGUGAUGGUGGUAGAAAAGGGGUUGGGGUAUCCAGGGCACGUGCGUUGGCAAUCUGUCACUCACGUGAUUUUCUUGCCUUUUACCAGGGCAUAGGCGUUGGGAAAGCUGGGGCACGAGCGCUAGACCUCAUUGUUGUUUAUUAUAAAUAAAGAACUUUGUCAAUUGAGUUUGUAUCCAUAGUUUCUGAACUUAGUCUUUGAGGAUUGGUUUUUAGAGUUUGUGAGAGGUUCUCUAGUGUUAAUGUUCCAGGUUUUACUUCUUUUACUUUUGAUUAUGUCUUGUUUAGCCAUACUUGGCUAGUUUAUCUUUGUACUUUGGGUGAAGUGAACCUUAGUUCUAAUUAUGGUUUGAACUUCUGAGUUUCUUAUAUGAAUAAAAUUCUCUUUCUAUGUA